AACGAACGUUGGCGGCGUGGAUUAGGCAUGCAAGUCGAACGAAUCCCAGUGGUGUAGCAAUACAUCGCUGGGGGAAGUGGCGAAAGGGGCAGUAAGGCGUGGGUAACCUACCCCGGGGACGCGGAUAGCCGUUCUAACGGACGGGUAAACCGCGGCGAUUCAGCGAGGCGGCAUCGCCUUGCUGGGAAACAAAUUUUGCCUCGGGAGGGGCUCACGUGAUAUUAGCUAGUUGGUGAGGUAACGGCUCACCAAGGCGAAGAUGUCUAGCGGGUGUGAGAGCACGACCCGCGCCACUGGCACUGAGACACUGGCCAGACACCUACGGGUGGCAG
This 332-nucleotide ribosomal RNA is filed under the name uncultured Planctomycetota bacterium. Its description in RNAcentral is "bacterial SSU rRNA". It matches the Rfam family "Bacterial small subunit ribosomal RNA", at positions 29 to 351 of the family's 1533-position model. The record is from RNAcentral. Lineage: Bacteria; Pseudomonadati; Planctomycetota.